GUUCCUCCAGGAUGUUGAUCAUACAACAGAAUUCUUUCUGGAAAAUAGCGAGUAUCAUGAGGAUUUGCACAUUCAGGAGCCAAGUCUGACAUGUUGCAUAUAAUGCGUAAUGGCACUACAUUCAGAAGAGCAUGUGAAGCAGCAUGCAAGCCUGCACGAAAGUCAAAGUUUUUCCUUUUCACCUCUUCUUUUAUUGAUUGUGGUACUGGAAUCCAGACUGCCUGCUGAGAGUUAUACGAAUAUUUUGGAAGUGAGAGAUCCACUGUGUCAAUAAUUUGAUUACUUCCUUUCUGUAUUUGAUAGAAACCAAACCAAGUGGUGGUAACUCUGCAAUCAUUUGCUUGUGCA
This 348-nucleotide unclassified non-coding RNA is filed under the name Hevea brasiliensis (rubber tree). Lineage: Eukaryota; Viridiplantae; Streptophyta; Magnoliopsida; Malpighiales; Euphorbiaceae. The record is from RNAcentral.